Ribosomal RNA from Cavia aperea (Brazilian guinea pig), 123 nucleotides. The record is from Ensembl. Lineage: Eukaryota; Metazoa; Chordata; Mammalia; Rodentia; Caviidae.
UUCUACGGCCGUACCACCCUGAACACACCCAAUCUCGUCUGAUCUCGGAAGCUAAGCAGGGUUGGGCCUGGUUAGUACUCGGAUGGGAGACCACUUGUACUUCCACUCAGAUAAUCUUUGCAU